GUAUUAAUAAGCGGAGGAAAAGAAACUAACAAGGAUUCCCUUAGUAACGGCGAGUGAAGCGGGAAAAGCUCAAACUGAAAAUCUGGUAGGUUAUAGACCUGCCCGAAUUGUAGUCUCGAGAGGCAAACACAACCACAAUCCUGGAUCUAAGUUCUUUGGGUAAAAAGACGAAC
This 173-nucleotide ribosomal RNA is filed under the name uncultured eukaryote. Its description in RNAcentral is "partial large subunit ribosomal RNA". It matches the Rfam family "Eukaryotic large subunit ribosomal RNA", at positions 40 to 205 of the family's 3401-position model. The record is from RNAcentral.